UUUUGACAUGUAUGGGUGCAAGCUAGUCUUGUAGGUAUAAAAUUUUUGUAAUGACAAACAAAUUUUGACACCAUAAACCUUUUGUUCUACAAAAUUGUUAAUGAAUAUUUGU
Molecule: long non-coding RNA, 112 nt
Organism: Ipomoea nil (Japanese morning glory)
Lineage: Eukaryota; Viridiplantae; Streptophyta; Magnoliopsida; Solanales; Convolvulaceae
Exons: 3
Source: RefSeq, a predicted model, not a curated record